CAAUAGCGUAUAUUAAAGUUGUUGCAGUUAAAAAGCUCGUAGUUGGAGUUCAGAGUGAGCUCGUCCGGUCGGCCUUAUGGGUCAGAACUGGUUGACUCUCUCUUGUUUGUGGAUCCUGUCAGCAGUUAACUCUGUUGAUGUGGAGUCCACAUCGUUUACCUUGAAAAAAUCAGAGUGUUUCUAGCAGGCAGCUCGCUCUUGCAUAGGUUAGCAUGGGAUAAUUUAAUAGGACUCUGGUGCUAUUUUGUGGUUUCGAACACCGGAGUAAUGAUUAAAAGGGGCAGUCAGGGGCACUCGUAUUCCGUCGAGAGAGGUGAAAUUCUCAGACCAAUGGAAGACGAACCACUGCGAAAGCAUUUGCCAGGGAUGUUUUCACUGAUCAAGAACGAAAGUUAGGGGAUCGAAGACGAUCAGAUACCG
RNAcentral lists this ribosomal RNA (420 nucleotides) under uncultured eukaryote. RNAcentral describes it as "bacterial SSU rRNA". It matches the Rfam family "Eukaryotic small subunit ribosomal RNA", at positions 592 to 1017 of the family's 1831-position model. The record is from RNAcentral.